AGCGGGAUGGGGGAGCCUGGAGUUCCCGCUGGAUCAGAAAUUCUGCAUUAUUGAAAAAUUUCUGAGGCAAAGCUCAUAACCCAGAGGCCGGUGGUUCAAAUCCACCUCCCGCUA
Molecule: transfer RNA, 114 nt
Filed under: Microcaldota archaeon
Lineage: Archaea; Nanobdellati; Microcaldota
Description: tRNA-OTHER
Source: RNAcentral